Long non-coding RNA from Camelus dromedarius (Arabian camel), 1058 nucleotides. RefSeq lists it as uncharacterized. The record is from RefSeq and is a predicted model, not a curated record. Lineage: Eukaryota; Metazoa; Chordata; Mammalia; Artiodactyla; Camelidae. The transcript is spliced from 6 exons.
GGAAGUUGGAACAAUAAAAGAUUGCUUGUUAUCUAAAGAAAGCCAGACUGACUAUGGAUAAUCUGCAACCUUGGAAAGCAACCGAGAUGGAAUUACUGCAGUACGUUUUGGUUACUGAGACCCUCGAAUUCCCAUAUGAAUUGUAGUAGCAGCUAGUCAGUUUUUGCAGAGGAGCCUGCUGGGAUUGUAAUCGAAACCACGUUGUAUGUAUGGAUCGCUCUGGGGAGCACUGCCACUCCAAGAACACUGUCUUCUGAUCCAGGAAUGUGCAUGGUGUGUCUGUCCAGGUGAUACUGCUCUGGUUGCUGCCUGUGCCCUACCCCCAGCCUUGGUUUUGGAGUUGAGUGCCCUCACCUCCAGUGGCAUCCAUCCAGACACCAGCACUGACACUGGCCGUGCUCAGAUCUGCCUCAGCCCUGAAGACACAACUGACAAAUAGAAGGGGGCCAUGCCCUGUUACAGCAGGUGCUCUCACUUUGUGGGUCCUUAUGUAACUGCGCAUUGUUAUUCAGGAUCGCCCAUUCUACAUUGUUUGAAGCUGCUGCGGUGUCUCCUAGUUAUUUGUUUCUGAUCUGAGAAGCAGGAGCAAGGAAUUCAGGGAGAGAUCCAGGAAGACAUCUGACUCUGUUAAGAGACGACAUUCACAGCGACAAGGGGAGCGAAGACACUUGCAGCAAAGCAAAAUGAAUUCACAACGAUUGCAUCAGAGCUGCAGGUGUGAGAGAGCCUAAGCCUGUCUCAGAGUGCAGGGGACAAGUGGAAAGGAAUGGUAAAAUUUCCACUGACAAUUGAAAUUUUGUUAAAUAGCCUGCUACUCUUAAUUGUAUCACUUCAUUGUAUGUAGGUGUAUUUCUGUGAGCAUUUAUAGGUUCACACAACCCCACCAGCACCUCUUGCCCCCAUCGGGGAUGGGCUUUCUCAAGCACAGUGCACCUCAUGCUUGAUUGGCCACGCUACGGGUCCUGGCCUGGGGCCGGGUUGCUGCAGGGCACUGAGUCCCCGAGGCACGGGCAGUGAGACAAGACAGGAACAUCUCAGCUCAUGACUGAGGGCCUCCG